UGAGCCGGCUGGGCGAUUGCGUCUGUGUGAACCAGCGUCGAUUGAUGUUCAAGGCACAUGGCCGAGGAAAGUCCGGACCCCAAAGAGCACGGUGGUUGCUAACGGCAACCCGGGGAAACCCGAGGGCAAGUGCAGCAGAAAGUAAACCGCCUCCAGGUAUUUUCCUGGCGGUAAGGGUGAAAGGGUGCGGUAAGAGCGCACCGGCAGCGACGGCGACGUAGCUGGCCAGGUAAACCCCACCGGGGGCAAGGCAAGAGGGCGCACGAAGCAUCACCCAGGUAUGAGGUGAGAAGUGUGCCUGCGCGGAUUGAAGGCGGCUCGCCUAAACGUCCGCGGGUAGCUGCUUGAGGUCGCGAGCAAUCGCGGCCCUAGAUGGAUGAUCGCCACCUGUGGUUGUGCCCAGCGCAACCGGGUACAGAAUCCGGCUUAUAGGCCGGCUCAUUCG
Molecule: RNase P RNA, 445 nt
Filed under: Corynebacterium pelargi
Lineage: Bacteria; Bacillati; Actinomycetota; Actinomycetes; Mycobacteriales; Corynebacteriaceae
Description: Bacterial RNase P class A
Rfam family: Bacterial RNase P class A
About the family: Ribonuclease P (RNase P) is a ubiquitous endoribonuclease, found in archaea, bacteria and eukarya as well as chloroplasts and mitochondria. Its best characterised activity is the generation of mature 5'-ends of tRNAs by cleaving the 5'-leader elements of precursor-tRNAs.
Source: RNAcentral